Molecule: small RNA, 29 nt
Filed under: Bombyx mori (domestic silkworm)
Lineage: Eukaryota; Metazoa; Arthropoda; Insecta; Lepidoptera; Bombycidae
Description: ovarian small RNA-34207
Source: RNAcentral
UGCUGACGUCUAUGGGCAACGGUAACCAC